GACGAACCGGACAAACGUUAUUCGGAAUUACUGGGCUUAAAGGGUUCGUAGGCGGCCUUGUAAGUGGGGUGUGAAAUCCCUCGGCUCAACCGAGGAACUGCGCUCCAAACUACAAGGCUUGAGGGAGACAGAGGUAAGCGGAACUGAUGGUGGAGCGGUGAAAUGCGUUGAUAUCAUCAGGAACACCGGUGGCGAAAGCGGCUUACUGGGUCUCUUCUGACGCUGAGGAACGAAAGCUAGGGUAGCGAACGGG
RNAcentral lists this ribosomal RNA (253 nucleotides) under uncultured bacterium. Its description in RNAcentral is "partial 16S ribosomal RNA". It matches the Rfam family "Bacterial small subunit ribosomal RNA", at positions 524 to 776 of the family's 1533-position model. The record is from RNAcentral.